CCUACGGGAGGCAGCAGUGGGGGAUAUUGCACAAUGGGGGAAACCCUGAUGCAGCGACGCCGCGUGGGCGAAGAAGUAUUUCGGUAUGUAAAGCCCUAUCAGCAGGGAAGAAGAAAUGACGGUACCUGAGUAAGAAGCACCGGCUAAAUACGUGCCAGCAGCCGCGGUAAUACGUAUGGUGCAAGCGUUAUCCGGAUUUACUGGGUGUAAAGGGCGCGCAGGCGGCACGGCAAGCCUGAUGUGAAAGACCGCGGCCAAACCGCGGGACUGCAUUGGGAACUACCGGGCUGGAGUGCCGGAGAGGUAGGCGGAAGUCCUAGUGUAGCGGUGAAAGGCGUAGAUAUUAGGAGGAACACCAGUGGCGAAGGCGGCCUACUGGACGGUGACUGACGCUGAGGCUCGAAAGCGUGGGGAGCAAACAGGAUUAGAUACCCUGGUAGUC
This 442-nucleotide ribosomal RNA is filed under the name uncultured bacterium. Its description in RNAcentral is "partial 16S ribosomal RNA". It matches the Rfam family "Bacterial small subunit ribosomal RNA", at positions 338 to 795 of the family's 1533-position model. The record is from RNAcentral.